Molecule: transfer RNA, 72 nt
Filed under: Ictidomys tridecemlineatus (thirteen-lined ground squirrel)
Lineage: Eukaryota; Metazoa; Chordata; Mammalia; Rodentia; Sciuridae
Description: Spermophilus tridecemlineatus (thirteen-lined ground squirrel) tRNA
Rfam family: tRNA
About the family: Transfer RNA (tRNA) molecules are approximately 80 nucleotides in length.
Source: Rfam by way of RNAcentral
UGGGGUGUAGUUUAGGGGUAGAGCACUUGCCUCGCAUGCACAGAGCCCUGAGUUCAAGCCCCAGCACCACAA